GGGUUCUACCGUUGGUCGGGCUUUGUCUGUACUGGCGUGUGGAAUUUCUACCUUCUGGGGAACUAUCAUGUUAUAAUUUAACGUGGUAGGAAACCAGGACCUUUACCUUGAAAAAUUAGAGUGUUCAAAGCAGGCUUAUGUCUAAAUACAUUAGCAUGGAAUAAUAAAAUAGGACGGUGGUCCUGUUUUGUUGGUUUCUGAAUCACCGUAAUGAUUAAUAGGGAUAGUUGGGC
Molecule: ribosomal RNA, 233 nt
Filed under: uncultured Glomeromycotina
Lineage: Eukaryota; Fungi; Glomeromycota
Description: partial 18S ribosomal RNA
Rfam family: Eukaryotic small subunit ribosomal RNA (bases 64-233)
Source: RNAcentral